CAGUCUGUCUGUAUGUGUAUUUAGCAGUCUGUCUGUGUACUUAGCAGUCUGUCUGUAUUUAGCAGACUGCUGAGUACACAGUCUGCUGAAUACACACACAGACAGACUGCUAAAUACACACACA
Pelobates cultripes (western spadefoot toad) is the source of this 124-nucleotide non-coding RNA. Lineage: Eukaryota; Metazoa; Chordata; Amphibia; Anura; Pelobatidae. The record is from the annotation of a GenBank genome assembly.